RNAcentral lists this long non-coding RNA (586 nucleotides) under Lonchura striata (white-rumped munia). RNAcentral describes it as "domestica (Bengalese finch) lncRNA (ENSLSDG00000002724.1)". Lineage: Eukaryota; Metazoa; Chordata; Aves; Passeriformes; Estrildidae. The record is from RNAcentral.
AUCUCUCGGUGUUCCAGGGAUGCAGCCUGGGCUCCUUUUUCCAUCUCCUGCAUCCCAGGGAGCCAUCCUGGGCUCCUUUUCCCAUCUCUCAGUAUUCCAGGGAGCCAUCCUGGGCUCCUUUUCCCAUCUCUCAAUGUUCCAGGGAAAACCUGGGCUCCUUUUCCCAACUCUCAAUGUUCCAGGGAAGCACUCUGAGCUCUCUGAGUGUUCCAGGGAAAACCUGGGCUCCCUUUCCCAUUUCUCGGAGUUCCAGGCUCCUUUUCCCAACUCUCAGUGUUCCAGGGAAAACCUGGGCUCCCUUUCCAAUCUCUCGGAGUUCCAGGGAAAACCUGGGCUCCUUUUCCCUCUCUCAAUGUUCCAGGGAAAACCUGGGCUCCUUUUCCCAUCCCUCGGUGUUCCAGGGAAAGCCUGGGCUCCUUUUCCCUCUCUCAAUGUUCCAGGGAAAACCUGGGCUCCUUUUCCCAACUCUCUGAGUGUUCCAGGGAAAUCCUGGGCUCCUUUUCCCAUCCCUCAGUGUUCCAGGGAAAUCCUGGGCUCCCUUUCCCAUCUCUCGGAGUUCCAGGCUCCUUUUCCCUUCUCUCCUGCA